AACGAACGCUGGCGGCAGGCUUAACACAUGCAAGUCGAGCGCCCCGCUAGGGGCGCGGCGGACGGGUGUGUAUAGCGUGGGAACGUACCUUUUGGUUCGGAACAACUCCGGGAAACUGGAGCUAUUACCGGAUAAGCCCUAACGGGGAAAGAUUUAUCGCCGAUAGAUCGGCCCGCGUCUGAUUAGCUAGUUGGUGUGGUAACGGCCCACCAAGGCGACGAUCAGUAGCUGGUCUGAGAGGAUGAUCAGCCACACUGGGACUGAGACACGGCCCAGACUCCUACGGGAGGCAGCAGUGGGGAAUAUUGGACAAUGGGCGCAAGCCUGAUCCAGCCAUGCCGCGUGAGUGAUGAAGGCCUUAGGGUUGUAAAGCUCUUUUGUCCGGGAAGAUAAUGACUGUACCGGAAGAAUAAGCCCCGGCUAACUUCGUG
RNAcentral lists this ribosomal RNA (431 nucleotides) under uncultured bacterium. RNAcentral describes it as "partial 16S ribosomal RNA". It matches the Rfam family "Bacterial small subunit ribosomal RNA", at positions 29 to 507 of the family's 1533-position model. The record is from RNAcentral.